GGGCACGUCGCCUAGUGGAUAUGGCACCUGACUACGGAUCAGGACUAACGGGGGUUCGAAUCCCUCCGUGCCCGCUA
RNAcentral lists this transfer RNA (77 nucleotides) under Gloeobacter violaceus PCC 7421. Its description in RNAcentral is "trnR-ACG". It matches the Rfam family "tRNA". Rfam says of the family: Transfer RNA (tRNA) molecules are approximately 80 nucleotides in length. Their secondary structure includes four short double-helical elements and three loops (D, anti-codon, and T loops). Lineage: Bacteria; Bacillati; Cyanobacteriota; Cyanophyceae; Gloeobacterales; Gloeobacteraceae. The record is from RNAcentral. RNAcentral also lists the same sequence under 1 other name.